GAAGGGUUGGUGGGUGGAUAGGAUGGGUCAGUGAGUGUAGUGUAAUGGCCUGGUGUAUGUACACGGUCAGACUGGAUAGUUUAAUUAUCUCUUCUGGCUUUAAACAUGAGGAAUAUCUGGAGAAGGAAAGUCUUCAAAAGGAAUAAGGAAGAAAACAAUGUAACAGGCUGGGAUGUCUUUAAUACUGCCAUGGUCCCUCUCCCCUGACCCAUCGAGCAAGCAGGGGUAUGGUCACAAACUGAAUGGUCCUAUCAGUCCAUUCAGAAGGACAGCAGGAAGGAGGAACAUUCUGCCAAUAAUAUUCAAGCCGAAGCUGAUGUCUUUAUUCUCCUCUAGAAGAGUUGUGUUUGCCUCUGCCUGUACCACUGUAUGUUUCCACUAGGGCUGUCUCACUGAUUUAACGUGACACCCUGAGCACCCCUCAGACGUCUUUGAGAUUCCAGCCAGCAUUGGAAGCAACAGCCCCAAUAACGCAGCACAUCCUAUCCAUUUUACGCAUGGUCCGAAGCGUGUGGUCUGGGACAGGCUUGUGGCUCUGGUUCUUCAGCUGAAAGAUGGGGAUAUUACUAACCUCUCCUGUUUCGGAUGCUGAGAAGAUUCUGAGAGCUUGCCCUUUCCUGAUGCCACAGAAAGUAUCCUUAAAGACAUUGCAUGCGCCAUACAAGUGGGAAGUUUGGGUUUGGUGGUGGCUUCAGAACUUAAUGAUUUUCAUCAGUGAUGAGAACCAAACCAAGAAAAUCAGCCCAACAGCUGGUCAAAAGGAAGUGCACACCUUGUCUGCUACUGACCGACCUCCUCUGUAAAUUGGCUGAGAGUGUGUGAUUUGCCCUGGAGCAGCUUUUUGAAGUAAUUGCUGUACAUCAGUCAAUAGAUCUGCAUUAGCAGCACCUUAAAAACUGCAAUAGUUUGGCAAAUGUUGCACUCGAUUAUAUGUUAUCUCUUUUAAGUGCCAUUGGUUUAAAACGUGAGAAAAUUAUCUGUUUUUGAAAACAGAUUGGUAGUGCUUUGAUUGUGCAGCUUUUGAUUUAGAGGGCUUUAUGUAUUCAUUCAGCAGACGUUUCCUCUGUACCUGCAAGAUCCUGCUUAUUGAAAAAGUGCUUUCAAGAUGUUGCUCCAUAGACUGCUCACGUUGAAAAGAAGAUUAUAGGAGGAUCCUUUUGACUUGUGUAUGUAUGUCACUGUUGAGACACGACACGGUGAUGUGGAAGCAAGUUUCUUUAUUGAAGUUCCAUGGCUGGCCGGCGCGCUCUUGAUCUUACACGCGCCUCUUAUACCCUUGAUUAACACACGCGUCUCCGCAUGAUUGGAUUAGCUUAUACAGAAACAAUCUGUGAAUGGGUGGUACUACUUUCAUACAUGGUCCUAUAUUGUCUGCCCACUUCCCAUCCCAUGAGCUCCUUCUGGGCGCAUUAAGCAGGGGUCCUCAGCCCGCUGUGGACCCCCACAUAUGUAGGAUCUCUUCUGAAACAAACUUGGGACCCCUCUGGGCUGGCCCUGCAGCUCUGUGCUGUGUUUUCUCUGUACGCUGACCCUUUGCUGUGGUGGUGGUGAUGCAUAGCACUGCUUUUAGUGCUGGAAGGAAGGGAGAGUUUAUGGUUGUAGGCAAGGGGUGGAGCUGGCUGCACAGAGGGUUUGCUUAGAGGUGAGGGAAAUGUCAGUCAGAAGAGCAAUUUGAAUAUCCAUUUCAGCCCAAGUCAUUCAUGGCUGUCAGACUCAAAUGGCUGUUCAGCUCUUUCACCAGAAUGUGUGGAUGCUUUUUUGCCCCAAUCAAUUCUUUGCCCCUUUGAAUUCCUGCUCACAGAGUCCAGCCUCUAGGGAUUUUUUUUUAGGAGACGGAAUAUCAUUUCAGUUCUGCCUUUGUCAAAUUUUGUGGGCUUGCUGCUCUGUGUUUCUGUUUUCUUUUCAAAGUAAGCCUGCCCUUUGAAACUGCAGGGAGACCAACUCCAGCAAGGCUGGCUGCCAUGAGGAUGCUCUCAGAGGUACAUCUAGGAGACUUUGCUCCUUCAUAUUCAGAUACCGAAGUCCUCUUGUUCAUUAUUUGUAUGAAUAAUUAUAUUAUUUUUUGAGUGGUGUAGAAAAUGUAAUCAAAAUUGAGAAUAGUCUUAGACCAUGCAUAGGUACCAGCUUUGACAGUGCUGACCAGUGUAGGCCCAUCGUUUCACAAUGAACCGCUCCUGCCCUCCUGGUUAAAGGAAAAAAAAGCUGGGGAUUAGGUUUUUAUAAAGAACUGUAAUUAAGCAAUCA
Long non-coding RNA from Cuculus canorus (common cuckoo), 2244 nucleotides. RefSeq lists it as uncharacterized. The record is from RefSeq and is a predicted model, not a curated record. The transcript has 4 exons. Lineage: Eukaryota; Metazoa; Chordata; Aves; Cuculiformes; Cuculidae.